GCGUCCCUAAUACAUGCAAGUCGAGCGGUCCCUUCGGGGAUAGCGGCGGACGGGUGAGUAACACGUAGGCAACCUGCCUGUAAGAUCGGGAUAACUAUCGGAAACGAUAGCUAAGACCGGAUAGCUGAUUCUCUCGCAUGAGAGGAUCAUGAAACACGGAGCAAUCUGUGGCUUACAGAUGGGCCUGCGGCGCAUUAGCUAGUUGGUAGGGUAACGGCCUACCAAGGCGACGAUGCGUAGCCGACCUGAGAGGGUGAUCGGCCACACUGGGACUGAGACACGGCCCAGACUCCUACGGGAGGCAGCAGUAGGGAAUCUUCCGCAAUGGACGCAAGUCUGACGGAGCAACGCCGCGUGAGUGAUGAAGGUUUUCGGAUCGUAAAGCUCUGUUGCCAGGGAAGAACGCCUUAGAGAGUAACUGCUCUAAGGGUGACGGUACCUGAGAAGAAAGCCCCGGCUAACUACGUGCCAGCAGCCGCGGUAAUACGUAGGGGGCAAGCGUUGUCCGGAAUUAUUGGGCGUAAAGCGCGCGCAGGCGGUCAUUUAAGUUUGGUGUUUAAGCCCGGGCUCAACCCCGGAUCGCACUGAAAACUGGGUGACUUGAGUGCGGGAGAGAAAGUGGAAUUCACGUGUAGCGGUGAAAUGCGUAGAGAUGUGGAGGAACCACCCAUGGCGAAGGCGACUUU
RNAcentral lists this ribosomal RNA (686 nucleotides) under uncultured bacterium. RNAcentral's name for it is "bacterial SSU rRNA". It matches the Rfam family "Bacterial small subunit ribosomal RNA", at positions 42 to 728 of the family's 1533-position model. The record is from RNAcentral.